Molecule: ribosomal RNA, 253 nt
Filed under: uncultured bacterium
Lineage: Bacteria
Description: partial 16S ribosomal RNA
Rfam family: Bacterial small subunit ribosomal RNA
Source: RNAcentral
UACGUAGGGUGCAAGCGUUAAUCGGAAUUACUGGGCGUAAAGCGUGCGCAGGCGGUUAUGCAAGACAGAUGUGAAAUCCCCGGGCUUAACCUGGGAACCGCAUUUGUGACUGCAUAGCUGGAGUACGGCAGAGGGGGAUGGAAUUCCGCGUGUAGCAGUGAGAUGCGUAGAUAUGCGGAGGAACACCGAUGGCGAAGGCAAUCCCCUGGGCCUGCACUGACGCUCAUGCACGAAAGCGUGGGGGGCAAACAGG